This 695-nucleotide ribosomal RNA is filed under the name uncultured bacterium. RNAcentral's name for it is "bacterial SSU rRNA". It matches the Rfam family "Bacterial small subunit ribosomal RNA", at positions 126 to 863 of the family's 1533-position model. The record is from RNAcentral.
AUGCCCUUUGUACGGAAUAGCCUCUGGAAACGGAGAGUAAUACCGUAUGAGCCCUUCGGGGAAAGAUUUAUCGCCAAAGGAUUAGCCCGCGUUAGAUUAGGUAGUUGGUGGGGUAAUGGCCUACCAAGCCUACGAUCUAUAGCUGGUUUUAGAGGAUGAUCAGCAACACUGGGACUGAGACACGGCCCAGACUCCUACGGGAGGCAGCAGUGGGGAAUCUUAGACAAUGGGCGCAAGUGAUCUAGCCAUGCCGCGUGAGUGACGAAGGCCUUAGGGUCGUAAAGCUCUUUCGCCAGGGAUGAUAAUGACAGUACCUGGUAAAGAAACCCCGGCUAACUCCGUGCCAGCAGCCGCGGUAAUACGGAGGGGGUUAGCGUUGUUCGGAAUUACUGGGCGUAAAGCGCGCGUAGGGGAUUGGAAAGUUGGGGGUGAAAUCCCGGGGCUCAACCCCGAACUGCCUCCAAAACUAUCAGUCUAGAGUUCGAGAGAGGUGAGUGGAAUUCCAAGUGUAGAGGUGAAAUUCGUAGAUAUUUGGAGGAACACCAGUGGCGAAGGGGCUCACUGGCUCGAUACUGACGCUGAGGUGCGAAAGUGUGGGGAGCAAACAGGAUUAGAUACCCUGGUAGUCCACACCGUAAACGAUGAAUGCCAGACGUCGGGGGGCUUGCCCUUCGGUGUCACACCUAACGGAUUAA